CGACGUGGGUAACCUGCCCUUUUGUGGGGAACAACUUCGAGAAAUCGGAGCUAAUACCGCAUAAUAAUAGAGGAUCGCAUGAUUCUUUAAGGAAAGAUGGCCUCUGAAGAUGCUAUCGCAAAAGGAUGGACCCGCGUCUGAUUAGCUAGUUGGAAGGGUAACGGCCUACCAAGGCAACGAUCAGUAGCCGGCCUGAGAGGGUGAACGGCCACAUUGGGACUGAGACACGGCCCAAACUCCUACGGGAGGCAGCAG
Molecule: ribosomal RNA, 255 nt
Filed under: uncultured bacterium
Lineage: Bacteria
Description: partial 16S ribosomal RNA
Rfam family: Bacterial small subunit ribosomal RNA
Source: RNAcentral